AAAAUAAAGAUUAAAAAAAAAGACAAAAGAAAAGCAAAAACCCUACUCUGUUUCUCUCUGUCUCUCUGUUCCACUGUCAGUAGCCGUUGCCUCCCGCUCCGGCGGCGCAGCUAUUCAAAUACCAUUUCUCUACUGCUUGUCCAGUUGCUUGUUGAGUCUCUCCUCAAUCUUUACUUAUCUUUGGUUGGUACUUGACACAACAUUUCUGUCAAAAUGAAGAAAAUGAUAGCCCUUGGUUUUGAAGGAUCAGCCAACAAGAUUGGUGUUGGGGUUGUGACAUUAGAUGGCACCAUUUUGUCAAACCCACGCCACACCUACAUUACACCACCUGGCCAAGGAUUCCUUCCACGAGAAACUGCUCAACACCAUCUCCAGCAUGUGCUUCCACUGAUUAAAUCGGCUUUAAAAACAGCCCAAAUUACCCCUGAUGAAAUCGACUGCCUUUGUUACACCAAGGGUCCCGGUAUGGGUGCACCGCUACAAGUUUCUGCCAUUGUUGUUAGGGUUCUUUCAUUGCUAUGGAAGAAGCCCGUUGUUGCAGUUAAUCACUGUGUUGCACAUAUUGAGAUGGGAAGGAUUGUAACUGGUGCAGAUGAUCCAGUUGUGUUGUAUGUUAGUGGUGGGAAUACUCAGGUUAUAGCGUAUAGUGAAGGGCGAUACAGAAUCUUUGGGGAGACUAUUGACAUUGCUGUUGGGAAUUGCUUGGAUCGGUUUGCUAGAGUUUUAACCCUCUCAAAUGAUCCAAGCCCUGGAUAUAACAUUGAGCAGCUGGCAAAGAAAGGAGAAAAGUUUAUAGAUCUUCCAUACGUGGUCAAAGGGAUGGAUGUAUCCUUUAGUGGAAUAUUGAGCUACAUUGAAGCUACUGCAGAGGAGAAGCUAAAAAAUAAUGAAUGCACCCCUGCAGAUUUGUGCUACUCCCUUCAGGAAACUCUAUUUGCAAUGCUUGUGGAGAUUACAGAGCGUGCUAUGGCUCACUGUGAUACGAAAGAUGUUCUCAUAGUUGGUGGUGUGGGUUGCAAUGAGCGCUUGCAAGAGAUGAUGAGGACAAUGUGUUCUGAACGAGGUGGUAGAUUGUUUGCAACUGAUGACAGGUACUGCAUUGACAAUGGAGCAAUGAUAGCAUAUACAGGUCUCCUUGCCUUUGCUCAUGGGUCAUCAACACCACUUGAGGAGACGACAUUCACCCAGCGUUUUCGGACUGAUGAGGUGCAUGCAAUCUGGAGGGAGAAACAUGAGUCAGGUGACAUGAAUGGUCUUGUGGAGGGAUGAAUUUAAAUUGCUAUUAAGGUUUCAGUGCUUGUUGCAUGUCCCAACUCUGGAUCUUGAAGGGAGGGACUGGUGAUUAUGGUACUGCUCGACUGGUUACUCAUCUACCUCAAAGGAUUCCAAAUCAAUCAUUCCAUCGCUUAAUGACAUGUAACAUGAUGCUGUAAUUAUGUGAUCAGUAGUCAUGAUCAUUUCUUUAGCAAUAAAUUUUGACUGUUUGGUAGUUGCAUGUUGGUGUAGCUUUUUUUUGAAUGAAUGGCACUGCAAUUUAUCCAAUUGUUUUUUAUUGUUAGUGUUAAA
Molecule: RNA transcript, 1566 nt
Organism: Theobroma cacao (cacao)
Lineage: Eukaryota; Viridiplantae; Streptophyta; Magnoliopsida; Malvales; Malvaceae
Gene name: Actin-like ATPase superfamily protein
Source: RefSeq, a predicted model, not a curated record